ACUCCUACGGGAGGCAGCAGUGGGAAUAUUGCACAAUGGGGAAGCCAUCGAUGCAGCAACGACCGCGUGAGUGAUGACGGUCUUCGGAUUGUAAAGCUCUGUCUUCAGGGACGAUAAUGACGGUACCUGAGGAGGAAGCCACGGCUAACUACGUGCCAGCAGCCGCGGUAAUACGUAGGUGGCAAGCGUUGUCCGGAUUUACUGGGCGUAAAGAGCUCGUAGGCGGUUCAGUAAGUCGGGUGUGAAAAAUCUGGGCUCAACCCAGUGCAGCACCCGAUACUGCUGUGACUAGAGUCCGGUAGGGGAGUGUGGAAUUCCUGGUGUAGCGGUGAAAUGCGCAGAUAUCAGGAGGAACACCGACAGCGAAGGCAGCACUCUGGGCCGGUACUGACGCUGAGGAGCGAAAGCAUGGGGAGCAAACAGGAUUAGAUACCCUGGUAGGUCAGUC
Molecule: ribosomal RNA, 448 nt
Filed under: uncultured bacterium
Lineage: Bacteria
Description: bacterial SSU rRNA
Rfam family: Bacterial small subunit ribosomal RNA
Source: RNAcentral